Molecule: transfer RNA, 75 nt
Filed under: Candidatus Eiseniibacteriota bacterium
Lineage: Bacteria; Candidatus Eiseniibacteriota
Description: tRNA-Pro
Rfam family: tRNA
About the family: Transfer RNA (tRNA) molecules are approximately 80 nucleotides in length. Their secondary structure includes four short double-helical elements and three loops (D, anti-codon, and T loops). Further hydrogen bonds mediate the characteristic L-shaped molecular structure. tRNAs have two regions of fundamental functional importance: the anti-codon, which is responsible for specific mRNA codon recognition, and the 3' end, to which the tRNAs corresponding amino acid is attached (by aminoacyl-tRNA synthetases). tRNAs cope with the degeneracy of the genetic code in two manners: having more than one tRNA (with a specific anti-codon) for a particular amino acid; and 'wobble' base-pairing, i.e. permitting non-standard base-pairing at the 3rd anti-codon position.
Source: RNAcentral
AGGGCAGUAGCUCAGUCAGGUCAGAGCUCACGGUCUGGGCCCGUGAGGCCAUCGGUUCGAAUCCGGUCUGCCCUA